This 468-nucleotide ribosomal RNA is filed under the name uncultured bacterium. RNAcentral describes it as "partial 16S ribosomal RNA". It matches the Rfam family "Bacterial small subunit ribosomal RNA", at positions 28 to 507 of the family's 1533-position model. The record is from RNAcentral.
GACGAACGCUGGCGGCGUGCUUAACACAUGCAAGUCGAACGGAAAGGCCCUGCUUUUGUGGGGUGCUCGAGUGGCGAACGGGUGAGUAACACGUGAGUAACCUGCCCUUGACUUUGUGAUAACUUCAGGAAACUGGGGCUAAUACCGGAUAGGAGCUCCUGCUGCAUGGUGGGGGUUGGAAAGUUUCGGCGGUUGGGGAUGGACUCGCGGCUUAUCAGCUUGUUGGUGGGGUAGUGGCUUACCAAGGCUUUGACGGGUAGCCGGCCUGAGAGGGUGACCGGCCACAAUAGGACUGAGGUACGGACCAGAAGCCUACGGGAGGCAGCAGUGGAGAAUAUUGCACAAUGGGCCGAAGCCUGAUGCAGAAACGCCGCGUGCGGGAUGACGGGCUUCGGGUUGUAAACCGCUUUCGCCUGUGACGAAGCGUGAGUGACGGUAAUGGGUAAAGAAGCACCGGCUAACUACGUG